This is a non-coding RNA of Brachypodium distachyon (stiff brome), 138 nucleotides long. NCBI's taxonomy places the organism in Eukaryota, Viridiplantae, Streptophyta, Magnoliopsida, Poales, Poaceae. The record is from Rfam.
CAUGUACUCACUCCAUCCAACAAAGGAUGUCUCAAUUUUGACCAAAUUUGAAUGCAUUUAUACACUAAAUCAUGUCUAGAUACAUCUAAAUUUUGACAAACUUGAGACAUCUUUUGUUGGGCGGAGGCUGAGUUGAUG